AACGAACGCUGGCGGCAUGCCUAACACAUGCAAGUCGAACGAAGCCUUCGGGCUUAGUCGCGCACGGGGGCGUAACGCGUGGGAAUCUGCCCCUUGCUUCGGAAUAACAGUUAGAAAUGACUGCUAAUACCGGAUGAAGUCUUCGGACCAAAGAUUUAUCGGCAAGGGAUGAGCCCGCGUAGGAUUCGGUAGUUGGUGGGGUAAAGGCCUAUCAAGCCGACGAUCCUUAGCUGGUUUGAGAGGAUGAUCAGCGACACUUGGACUGAGACACGGCCCAGAAUCCUACGGGAGGGAGCAGAGGGGGAUAGAGGACAACGGAGGCAAGGAUGAUCCAGCAAGGACGGGUGAGUGAUGAUGGCCUUAGGGUUGUAAUGUGCUAUUAACAGGGAUCAUCAUGACAGUACCUGGAGAAUAAGCCCCGGCUAACUACGUG
RNAcentral lists this ribosomal RNA (433 nucleotides) under uncultured bacterium. RNAcentral's name for it is "partial 16S ribosomal RNA". It matches the Rfam family "Bacterial small subunit ribosomal RNA", at positions 29 to 507 of the family's 1533-position model. The record is from RNAcentral.